AGCCGAUUGGCCGUCCGAGUCCAGCCCCCAGGUUCUGCAGAGAGUCGCGGAGGAGCUUGGUAGCUGGUGGCGCUCGCAGGGUUUGUCUCUCAGGGAACCAGGGACGCGCUCCUGCCGUCCUCCUGGGCCAGCGGACCAGCCCUCCGCACCCCCAAGGGAUCCAGAGCUGAAAAGCGCCUGGAAACUCCUCUCCCUGAUCCGUCGCGCGCCCUGCGCAUUCUAGGCACUACCCAGGGGUCUUUGCCGGGGACAGAGGGCCUCGGAGGAGAGACUCGUUUAACUCCAGAGACGUAGCCCCUCUACCCACCUACUGGUCGAAAAGCGCCUAAGUAAGGCCAGGGGAUGGGGAAGGCGGCAGCUGCACCAAGACCAGAAGGAAGGAGGGGGCUGAGGAACCGCGCCCAGGUGGUGGAAGGGCAAAAGAACUCAAUUUACAAGUAGUGCUUUAAGGAAGAAACCAGGCUCUACCUCCAGUGGGGGGAGUAGUGGGGCGGACUACUCCUCUUAGUGCUAAUACUCGACUAUGCUGGUAAAAAGGAUCUGUCAAGAAUCUCAUAAAGUACAGUUAAUGUAAGGUGGAGAAGGACAUAGGAGAACGAUUCUGAUCACUCUUGGGAGCUUCAGAAUUUCCUUUCAAAAAUCAAUCUCUCGAACCAGGUGAAUUCCCUUUGCUCACCAUGCAAAUGCAUUAAAUAAACAAACAAGGACAGGAUAACAGUCUUCUUGGGGGCAAUGUUGCAGGCUACAAACUGAAACCCUUUGUGAUCUGGCACAGUGAGAACCUCAAGGCCUUUACAAAUAACAAUAAGCACACACUGCCAUUGACUACAGGAGAAAUAAGAAGUCACGGAUGACCCGGUUCCUCUUCCAAGCUGCCUCCUGAAUUGCUAUGCCAGAGAAAUGGAGAAUAACACACCUUUCAAGAUUUUGCUUAUUUGAUAAAGCUCCCAGACAACCUCUUUUUGUUGGUGUUCCUCAUCCCAAUAUCAAAAUGGUGUUUCUUCCUCCAAACACUACUUCUUUCAUCCAACCAAUGGAUCAAAGAGUUAUAACAGCUUUUAAGGCCUGCUACCUGAAGAGGACCUUUGUCCAGACUAUUGCUGCAACUGAGGGAGAACUGAGAAGACACUGAGGCAAUUCUGGAAGGAUUACAACAUCUAUGACUGCAUCAAGAACCUUGCUUGUGCAUGGGGUUAUGUCACCAAGGAGUGUAUGAAUGGCAUCUGAAAGAAGUUACUUAAGAGGUUCAUUCAUGACUUCAAAAGAUUUGCCAAGAAUGAGGAGGUUGUAAAAAUCAACAAGGCUCUGGUUGAGACGGCAGACAACUUUACCCUGAGUGUGGAUGAGGAUGACACUGAGGAACUCCUAGAGGUGGCUCCUGAGGAACUGACUAGUGAGGACUUGUUGGAACUGGAACAGGAGUGUGUAGCUGAAGAAGAGGCAAGAGAAAAGGAAACUGCAGGAGAAGAAAGAGAAGAACCCACAGUGACGGGGUUUAGCAGGAGCUUUUGCAGACCUCAACAAGCUCCUUAAAAUGUGUGAAAACAUAGACCCCCAACACUGAAAGGUUUUCAUUCAUAGAGAGGAACGUUCACGGUGCAUUACCUGCUUACAAGCAAAUCUAUAAUGAAUAAAAGAAACAAACCAAGCAAACCACCAUGGACACAUUUCUGAAAAGAAUAACACCUUCUAAAGAAGAGCCUCAGGCAGGUUCGUCAGGAGAAGAAGGCAUUGUUAGCACAGGUGAUGACAGCUCCAUGAGUGUUACUGUCCCUGAAGACCUUCCAGUGGGAGAAGAUGUGGAGGUGGAAGCCAAUGAUAUUGAUCAUCCUGACCCUGUGUAGGCCUAGGCUAAUGUGUGUGUUUAUGUCUUCAUUUU
Equus quagga is the source of this 1879-nucleotide long non-coding RNA. RefSeq lists it as uncharacterized. The record is from RefSeq and is a predicted model, not a curated record. Lineage: Eukaryota; Metazoa; Chordata; Mammalia; Perissodactyla; Equidae. The transcript is spliced from 3 exons.